GUCCUGCUGAAGAGUCUCAAACUAGGACGAAACAGCUGUCCAGUAC
Trichobilharzia regenti is the source of this 46-nucleotide non-coding RNA. The record is from Rfam. Lineage: Eukaryota; Metazoa; Platyhelminthes; Trematoda; Strigeidida; Schistosomatidae.